CUUGACGGUACUUGCAGAAAAAGGACCGGCUAACUACGUGCCAGCAGCCGCGGUAAUACGUAGGGUCCGAGCGUUGUCCGGAAUUAUUGGGCGUAAAGAGCUCGUAGGCGGUUUGUCGCGUCUGCCGUGAAAUCCUCAGGCUCAACCUGAGGUCUGCGGUGGGUACGGGCAGACUUGAGUGGUGUAGGGGAGACUGGAAUUCCUGGUGUAGCGGUGGAAUGCGCAGAUAUCAGGAGGAACACCGAUGGCGAAGGCAGGUCUCUGGGCACUUACUGACGCUGAGGAGCGAAAGCGUGGGGAGCGAACAGGAUUAGAUACCCUGGUAGUCCACGCCGUAAACGUUGGGCGCUAGAUGUGGGGACCUUUCCACGGUUUCCGUGUCGUAGCUAACGCAUUAAGCGCCCCGCCUGGGGAGUACGGCCGCAAGGCUAAAACUCAAAGGAAUUGACGGGGGCCCGCACAAGCGGCGGAGCAUGCGGAUUAAUUCGAUGCAACGCGAAGAACCUUACCAAGGCUUGACAUGACCGAGAACGCCGCAGAAAUGUGGAACUCUUUGGACACUCGGUUACAGGUGGUGCAUGGUUGUCGUCAGCUCGUGUCGUGAGAUGUUGGGUUAAGUCCCGCAACGAGCGCAACCCUCGUCGCAUGUUGCCAGCACGUUAUGGUGGGGACUCAUGUGAGACUGCCGGGGUCAACUCGGAGGAAGGUGGGGAUGACGUCAAAUCAUCAUGCCCCUUAUGUCUUGGGCUUCACGCAUGCUACAAUGGCCGGUACAAAGGGCUGCGAUGUCGUAAGGCGGAGCGAAUCCCAAAAAGCCGGUCUCAGUUCGGAUUGAGGUCUGCAACUCGACCUCAUGAAGUCGGAGUCGCUAGUAAUCGCAGAUCAGCAACGCUGCGGUGAAUACGUUCCCGGGCCUUGUACACACCGCCCGUCAAGUCAUGAAAGUCGGUAACACCCGAAGCCGGUGGCCUAACCCUUGUGGAGGGAGCCGUCGAAGGUGGGAUCGGUGAUUAGGACUAAGUCGUAACAAGGUAGCCGUACCGGAAGGUGCGGCUGGAUCACCUCCUUUCUAAGGA
RNAcentral lists this ribosomal RNA (1076 nucleotides) under Agromyces bracchium. RNAcentral describes it as "bacterial SSU rRNA". It matches the Rfam family "Bacterial small subunit ribosomal RNA", at positions 468 to 1533 of the family's 1533-position model. The record is from RNAcentral. Lineage: Bacteria; Bacillati; Actinomycetota; Actinomycetes; Micrococcales; Microbacteriaceae.